AAUCCAUAGGUUAAUGAGGCGAACCGGGGGAACUGAAACAUCUAAGUACCCCGAGGAAAAGAAAUCAACCGAGAUUCCCCCAGUAGCGGCGAGCGAACGGGGAGGAGCCCAGAGCCUGAAUCAGCAUGUGUGUUAGUGGAAGCGUCUGGAAAGGCGCGCGAUACAGGGUGACAGCCCCGUACACAAAAGCGCAUGUGCUGUGAGCUCGAUGAGUAGGGCGGGACACGUGGUAUCCUGUCUGAAUAUGGGGGGACCAUCCUCCAAGGCUAAAUACUCCUGACUGACCGAUAGUGAACCAGUACCGUGAGGGAAAGGCGAAAAGAACCCCGGCGAGGGGAGUGAAAAAGAACCUGAAACCGUGUACGUACAAGCAGUGGGAGCCCCACCACCAAAGCAUUUGCUGUACCGCGUUGACGGAGCGAAGCGACGUCAAACCGAUAAAACAGCAGUGUAAAGUGAGCCGCAGGGCGCUUUGCGC
RNAcentral lists this ribosomal RNA (478 nucleotides) under Salmonella enterica subsp. enterica serovar Enteritidis. RNAcentral's name for it is "partial 23S ribosomal RNA". The stretch from base 1 to 366 matches the Rfam family "Bacterial large subunit ribosomal RNA", at positions 161 to 565 of the family's 2925-position model. The record is from RNAcentral. Lineage: Bacteria; Pseudomonadati; Pseudomonadota; Gammaproteobacteria; Enterobacterales; Enterobacteriaceae.